GACGAACGCUGGCGGCGUGCUUAACACAUGCAAGUCGAACGGAAAGGCCUGCUUUCCCUUGUGUAUUGCGGGUACUCGAGUGGCGAACGGGUGAGUAACACGUGAGUGAUCUGCCCCCAACUUGUGUAUAAGCCUGGGAAACUGGGUCUAAUUCCCGAUAGUACUGCAGGGUGGUGCCUGUGGUGGAAAACGAUUUUCUUGUGGUUGGGGAUGAGCUCGCGGCCUAUCAGCUUGUUGGUGGGGUAAUGGCCUACCAAGGCGUCGACGGGUAGCCGGCCUGAGAGGGGGGACAGCCAAAUUGGGACCGGGACACGGCCCAGACGCCUAGGGGAAGCGGCAGUGGGGAAUAAAGGGGCACGAGCGGGAGCCAGAUGCAGCGAGGCCGCGGGGGGGAUGACGGGCUUCGGGUUGUAAACUCCUUUGGACCGAGAGGAAGCCACCUGGUUGGAAGGGUGGUGACGGUAGUGGUAGAAGAAGCACCGGCUAACUACGUG
RNAcentral lists this ribosomal RNA (494 nucleotides) under uncultured bacterium. Its description in RNAcentral is "partial 16S ribosomal RNA". It matches the Rfam family "Bacterial small subunit ribosomal RNA", at positions 28 to 507 of the family's 1533-position model. The record is from RNAcentral.